RNAcentral lists this ribosomal RNA (135 nucleotides) under uncultured bacterium. RNAcentral describes it as "partial 16S ribosomal RNA". It matches the Rfam family "Bacterial small subunit ribosomal RNA", at positions 355 to 507 of the family's 1533-position model. The record is from RNAcentral.
UGGGGAAUAUUGGACAAUGGGCGCAAGCCUGAUCCAGCAAUGCCGCGUGAGUGAGGAAGGCCUUAGGGUUGUAAAGCUCUUUCACCCACGACGAUGAUGACGGUAGUGGGAGAAGAAGCCCCGGCUAACUUCGUG